This 1375-nucleotide long non-coding RNA is filed under the name Mytilus galloprovincialis (Mediterranean mussel). Lineage: Eukaryota; Metazoa; Mollusca; Bivalvia; Mytilida; Mytilidae. The record is from RNAcentral.
GAUUUGUAAAGAAAUAAUUUUUGGUAAUGUGGUUGUUUAUUUUAUGAUAUUUACUGAUAUCGAAAAUCAAACGUUUUUUUUAAAAUGAAUUAGUAUUAAGUUCCUUUCUGUAUAUUUUACUAGACUGAUGAAUAUAUAUAUUUUAUUCAAAGUCUUAUGUGAGAAUAUAUUUUCAUGUCUUUGUUUUGACCCGGCCAUGGACUCAACGUGGAUCUUCACACUCGCAUCGAACUUACUUUAACGAAAGCACAUAACUUGUUUAUCUGGUCAACAAUUGUCACUUUGGUAUAGAGUUAUCUCAUACCACAUCUUCGUAUAUCUAUUAAAUCGAUGUAUAGGUCUUUAGAAAUUUAAAGGACAGUAUGCCUUUUAUAAUCAAAGGUAUCUGAUGAAUGAUAUAUUAAGAUUGUGUCUUUUUACUACCGCUCAUCAAUUAAUCUCAUGUAUGCUCAUAGCCACAAUGACAAGUAUUUACUGUUAUCUAUCUUGUUUUUCAUGUGGUUAUUUAUAUUUGUUUUUGUAAUUUAUAAUGCCAUAUUUCACAUAGCUUUUUAAAUUAUCAUCUAAAUAUUAUUUAACAGUUUAUUUAAUUAAGAUACACCAAAGCACUUGGCGGUUUUUAUUUUUUUUUUAAAUAUUUUGUUGUGUUGAGCAAAUUAGAUAUUCUUGAAAGUCUAUGUGACAUUUUGUGAAAUACGUCUACUGAAUGUUGUAGUGUGUAUUUUUAUUGACACAUGGUUAAAAGUGACAUACGCCUGUAAACUGUCAUACAAGUGAAAGGUUCAGCACUAUGAAACCAGGUUCAAUCCACCAUUUUCUACAUUUGAAAAUGCCAGUACUAAGUCAUGGAAGAGGGACGAAAAAUACCAGAGGGACAGUCAAACUCAUAAAUCGAAAAUAAACUGACAUUGCCAUGGCUAAAAAUGAAAAAGACAAACAGACAAACACCAGUACACAUGAAACAACACAGAAAACUAAAGAAUAAGCAACACGAACCCCACAAAAAACUAGGGGUGAUAAAAGGUGCUCCGGAAGAGUAAGCAGAUCAUGUUCCACAUGUGGCACCCAUCGUGUUGCUCAUAUUAUAAUAAAUCCGGUAAAUAUAGUCUGCUUCUGUAUAUGACAGUUGUUGUCCAUUCGUUUGAUGUGUUUUGUCAUUUGAUUUUGCCAUUUGAUUAGGGACUUUCCGUUUUGAAUUUUCUUCGGCGUUCAAUAUUUUUUGUUAUUUUACUCUUUUCUAUCUCAUUGACAAAUGAACUACAUCUCUGUUCUUAGAAAGACCACAAAAUAUCUUAUAAGCAUUCAAAUGAAUGUGUUAUUUUGUUAUUUUUCUAAUUUGACAAUGAACAUGAAGUGAAAAUAAAUGAUUUUAACG